This 494-nucleotide ribosomal RNA is filed under the name uncultured bacterium. RNAcentral's name for it is "partial 16S ribosomal RNA". It matches the Rfam family "Bacterial small subunit ribosomal RNA", at positions 28 to 507 of the family's 1533-position model. The record is from RNAcentral.
GACGAACGCUGGCGGCGUGCUUAACACAUGCAAGUCGAACGGUGAAGCGCCUUCCUUUUUGGUGGGUGUGGAUGAGUGGCGAACGGGUGAGUAACACGUGAGUAACCUGCCCCCUUCUUCUGGAUAACCGCAUGAAAGUGUGGCUAAUACGGGAUAUUCUGGGUCUGUCGCAUGAUGGGUCUGGGAAAGAUAUUGUUUCGGUGGGGGAUGGGCUCGCGGCCUAUCAGCUUGUUGGUGGGGUGAUGGCCUACCAAGGCGGUGACGGGUAGCCGGCCUGGGAGGGUGGACGGUCUCACUGGGACUGCGGCACGGCCCAGACUCCUACGGGAGGCAGCAGCGGAGAAUAUUGCACAAUGGGCGCAAGUCUGAUGCAGCGACGCCGCGUGAGGGAUGGAGGCCUGCGGGUUGUGAACCUCUUUCGCUAGUGAAGCAGGCCUGCCUCGUUUGUGGGUGGGUUGACGGUAGCUGGAUAAGAAGCGCCGGCUAACUACGUG